Molecule: ribosomal RNA, 1124 nt
Filed under: Agrionoptera insignis
Lineage: Eukaryota; Metazoa; Arthropoda; Insecta; Odonata; Libellulidae
Description: partial 16S ribosomal RNA
Source: RNAcentral
UCUUUUUAUUUAGUAUAUUAAAGAAUUAUUGUUUUUUGUUAUAGUUUAUUAGUACUGUGAAGGAAUUGAUGAAAUAUUUUAUAAUUAUUUUUUUAUAAGUAUGUUUAAUUUGCAGUACCUUUUGUAUCAGGGUUGAUUAAUUAAAUUAAAUUAUUUUUAUAUCUCGAUUUCAAAAGAGCUAAGUUAUUAUUUUAGUUAAUGUGGAAUAAUUAUUAAUAAUAUAAUUUAGUAAAGAAAUUUUAUUCGGUUUUGAAGGUAUCUAGUUUUUUAAGAAAUAAAUUUAAUUUAGCUUUAUUUAUUAAAUUUUAUAUUAUAUUAUAAUUUAUAAAAUAAAAUAAAUAUUAUAGGGGAUAAGCUCUAUAUUUUUCUAUAAAAUGUUAAUUAAUUUAUUCUUGUAGGUUUAAAAUUAUCCAUCAUUAGUAAGUGUGUUAUAAUUUAUUUUUAUUAUUAAUUAAUUUUUUUUUAUUUUUAGUAUAUUAUUAAAAUAUCAGAAUUAAUUUUUUAUUGUGAUUAAUAAUGAUUAAAUUAGUAUAAAUUAUUGUUUAUUGUAUAAUUUAUUUUAUAAUAAAAUAAGGAACUCGGCAAAUAUAGUUCUCGCCUGUUUAUCAAAAACAUGUCCUUUUGAAUUUAAUUGAAGGUCUGACCUGCCCAGUGAUAAUUUUAACGGCCGCGGUAUACUGACCGUGCAAAGGUAGCAUAAUCAUUAGUCUUUUAAUAGAGGGCUGGAAUGAAAGGUUUAACGAGGAACUGACUGUCUCAUUUUAUUUGUUUUAAAAUUUAAUUUUUUAGUUAAAAAGCUAAAAUUUUAUUGGAAGACGAGAAGACCCUAUAGAUCUUUACAUAUUUUUAUUUAAAUAUUUAUAUAUCAAUAUUUUUAUUUUAAAAUGUGUUUUGUUGGGGUGACAAAAAUAUAUAAUUAACUUUUUUAUUUACAUAACAUUGAUUUAUGAUUAUUAGAUCCAAUCUUAUUGAUUAUUAGAUUAAGUUACCUUAGGGAUAACAGCGUAAUCCUCCUCCAGAGUUCAUAUUUACAGGAUGGGCUUGCGACCUCGAUGUUGGAUUAAGAUAAUAAUUAGGUGUAGCCGCUUAAUUUAUAGGUCUGUUCGACCUUUAAAUUCUUACAU